Molecule: ribosomal RNA, 497 nt
Filed under: uncultured bacterium
Lineage: Bacteria
Description: partial 16S ribosomal RNA
Rfam family: Bacterial small subunit ribosomal RNA
Source: RNAcentral
GACGAACGCUGGCGGCGUGCCUAAUACAUGCAAGUAGAACGCUGAAGAGAGGAGCUUGCUCUUCUUGGAUGAGUUGCGAACGGGUGAGUAACGCGUAGGUAACCUGCCUUGUAGCGGGGGAUAACUAUUGGAAACGAUAGCUAAUACCGCAUAACAAUUGAUGACACAUGUCAUUUAUUUGAAAGGGGCAAUUGCUCCACUACAAGAUGGACCUGCGUUGUAUUAGCUAGUAGGUGAGGUAAUGGCUCACCUAGGCGACGAUACAUAGCCGACCUGAGAGGGGGAUCGGCCACACUGGGACUGAGAAACGGCCCAGACUUCUACGGGAGGCAGCAGUAGGGAAUCUUCGGCAAUGGGGGCAAUCCUGACCGAGCAACGCCGCGUGAGUGAAGAAGGUUUUCGGAUCGUAAAGAUCUGUUGUAAGUCAAGAACGGGUGUGAGAGUGGAAAGUUCACACUGUGACGGUAGCUUACCAGAAAGGGACGGCUAACUACGUG